This 254-nucleotide ribosomal RNA is filed under the name uncultured bacterium. Its description in RNAcentral is "partial 16S ribosomal RNA". It matches the Rfam family "Bacterial small subunit ribosomal RNA", at positions 524 to 776 of the family's 1533-position model. The record is from RNAcentral.
CACGUAGGGAGCAAGCGUUGUCCGGAUUUAUUGGGCGUAAAGAGCUCGUAGGUGGUUCGGUAAGUCGGGUGUGAAAACUCUGGGCUCAACUCAGAGACGCCACCCGAUACUGCUGUGACUUGAGUCUGGUAGGGGAGUGUGGAAUUCCCAGUGUAGCGGUGAAAUGCGCAGAUAUUGGGAGGAACACCAGUGGCGAAGGCGGCACUCUGGGCCAGUACUGACACUGAGGAGCGAAAGCGUGGGGAGCAAACAGG